UCCGGUUCGCCACCGGCAGUCCCGACAGAGGCCCCGACAGCCUUUCGGCCUCGCUGGCAACAGUCGGCAAGGGUUGCGCUCGUUGCGGGACUUAACCCAACACCUCACGGCACGAGCUGACGACAGCCAUGCAGCACCUCUACUGGCAACCGGCUUUACGGUUCAUUCGACUUUCAUCUCUUUACUACCAGCACUUCAAGCCCAGGUAAGGUUCUUCGCGUUGCAUCGAAUUAAACCACAUGAUCCACCGCUUGUGCGGGCCCCCGUCAAUUCCUUUGAGUUUCAACCUUGCGAUCGUACUCCCCAGGUGGUAUGCUUAAUAGGUUCCCUACGGCACUGAAGUAUUGCUACCCCAACACCAAGCAUACAUCGUUUACAGUGUGGACUAC
RNAcentral lists this unclassified non-coding RNA (389 nucleotides) under uncultured Ignavibacteria bacterium. Its description in RNAcentral is "contains 16S-23S intergenic spacer region". The record is from RNAcentral. Lineage: Bacteria; Pseudomonadati; Ignavibacteriota; Ignavibacteria.